This 406-nucleotide ribosomal RNA is filed under the name uncultured bacterium. RNAcentral's name for it is "partial 16S ribosomal RNA". It matches the Rfam family "Bacterial small subunit ribosomal RNA", at positions 30 to 526 of the family's 1533-position model. The record is from RNAcentral.
AUUGAACGCUGGCGGCAGGCCUAACACAUGCAAGUCGAACGAGUGGCGGACGGGUGAGUAAUGUCUGGGCAACUGCCCGAUGGAGGGGGAUAACUUCGGUAAACGGUAGCUAAUACCGCAUACCAUCAGAUGUGCCCAGAUGGGAUUAGCUAGUGGGUGGGGUAACGGCUCACCUAGGCGAAGAUCCCUAGCUGGUCUGAGAGGAUGACCAGCCACACUGGAACUGAGACACGGUCCAGACUCCUACGGGAGGCAGCAGUGGGGAAUAUUGCACAAUGGGCGCAAGCCUGAUGCAGCCAUGCCGCGUGUAUGAAGAAGGCCUUCGGGUUGUAAAGUACUUUCAGCGAGGAGGCGUUACUCGCAGAAGAAGCACCGGCUAACUCCGUGCCAGCAGCCGCGGUAAUUC